CCUACGGGAGGCUGCAGUGGGGAAUAUUGCACAAUGGGGGAAACCCUGAUGCAGCGACGCCGCGUGAGUGAAGAAGUAUUUCGGUAUGGAAAGCUCUAUCAGCAGGAACGAGACAAGACGGUACCUGACUAAGAAGCCCCGGCUAACUACGUGCCAGCAGCCGCGGUAAUACGUAGGGGGCAAGCGUUAUCCGGAAUCACUGGGUGUAAAGGGAGCGUAGACGGCUGAGCAAGCCUGAAGUGAAAGGCGGGGGCCCAACCCCCGGACUGCUUUGGGAACUGUACGGCUGGAGUGCAGGAGAGGUAAGUGGAAUUCGUAGUGUAGCGGUGAAAUGCGUAGAUAUUAGGAGGAACACCAGUGGCGAAGGCGGCUUACUGGACUGUAACUGACGUUGAGGCUCGAAAGCGUGGGGAGCAAACAGGAUUAGAUACCCUAGUAGUC
Molecule: ribosomal RNA, 441 nt
Filed under: uncultured bacterium
Lineage: Bacteria
Description: partial 16S ribosomal RNA
Rfam family: Bacterial small subunit ribosomal RNA
Source: RNAcentral